Long non-coding RNA from Camelus dromedarius (Arabian camel), 557 nucleotides. RefSeq lists it as uncharacterized. The transcript has 3 exons. The record is from RefSeq and is a predicted model, not a curated record. NCBI's taxonomy places the organism in Eukaryota, Metazoa, Chordata, Mammalia, Artiodactyla, Camelidae.
CUGAAGAGGGUGAUCAUUGUUCGAGUGAGACGAGACCCGUGUUGUACAGAGUCAGCAUCCCAGUCCUGGACACGGCUUGAUAAGUUUUCACUGGAGGGAAUUGACCUUACAGAAGAUGGACUUAACUCUGGCCUCUUCAGAAUGGACAAGUGAACCUGGAGAAAGACAGUCAAAUCUGUGCAGAUAUUAAAGUCCACGUGAACGUGCUCCAUCCCUGAGCCAAAGAUCGGACAAGUAGGCAGCACUUCUUGAGGAGAGAGGUGAUGAGGACGUGGGCACAAGCAUUGGACGCCAUGUCGAGGUGACUUUGGAUACCUGCCUAGAAGCGCGGGCACAGCUGCGGCUGCAUCAUACAUCUUGCCCCCCACCCCGUUCCCGGGCUCCGUGAUCACGGCAGGGUGGUUCCUUGAUGACCUGUCCGUCUCCUUUGUGACAUUGCAACCCACCAAAGACCGGAGCGUAUUACCUUGGCUUUGUUCUUUUCCAUCCUUCUCUUUGAAUGGACUGAUAGUGGACCCAGUUAUUUUAGCAGAUGUUUUACAAGUAGGGCUCUCAGU